This 338-nucleotide long non-coding RNA is filed under the name Elaeis guineensis (African oil palm). Its description in RNAcentral is "long non-coding RNA (EGUI_LNC000073)". Lineage: Eukaryota; Viridiplantae; Streptophyta; Magnoliopsida; Arecales; Arecaceae. The record is from RNAcentral.
GAACCUUUUGAGCAGACUCUCAUGGCGUCAUGUUCGCAAAUUCUAUGCGUAAACACGGUAAUAUUAUUUUCCAUUACAAAAAAACAGGGAGACUGCGACAUUUUCUCAUGGGUUUUUUUUGGUUUCUCCUUUUCUGGUCAAUGGCUAAUCUCAGAGGUCGGUAAAUAAUGGGUUUAUCCAUGAAAUAACUUAUCCAAAACAAUGCAAGAUUGCAGUGCCGUAUUCAUCAUCCCAAACCUUAGAACAAGAUGGUACAGGAGCCUCACUGCCACCUACCAGCUGUGUUGCGAGGAAUAGAUAAAUGCACCACUAGAGCUAUCAAGAUGGGCCGACCCACC